This 206-nucleotide long non-coding RNA is filed under the name Lathyrus oleraceus (garden pea). RNAcentral describes it as "Pisum sativum (pea) long non-coding RNA (PSAT_LNC002656)". Lineage: Eukaryota; Viridiplantae; Streptophyta; Magnoliopsida; Fabales; Fabaceae. The record is from RNAcentral.
AACAGAGCCGUCACCGUGCGUUAUUUAUCCCAAAAGGAGGGAAAGGAAACGCUCGAAGUAAAUCUGGAAAAGACAUGGUCUCACGACCAAAGAGAAUGGGAUCGAGAGUCGGUUAUGCGAAGGGAAGGUAUUAGCACCCCUACACAUCUGUCGUACUCGACGGGAUCCACGCACAAAAGGAAGGAUAAAGGUUGCUAAAAUUGCUC